This 70-nucleotide transfer RNA is filed under the name Colpocephalum spinicollis. RNAcentral describes it as "tRNA-Arg". Lineage: Eukaryota; Metazoa; Arthropoda; Insecta; Psocodea; Menoponidae. The record is from RNAcentral.
AUUGCGUAGCUUAAUUAAAUUGCUCAACUUGGUUUCGACCCGAGGUAGUGAGGUCCCUAGAUCUCCAAUU